CCUACGGGGAGCAGCAGUGGGGAAUAUUGCACAAUGGGGGAAACCCUGAUGCAGCGACGCCGCGUGAGUGAAGAAGUAUUUCGGUAUGUAAAGCUCUAUCAGCAGGGAAGAAAAAAGACGGUACCUGACUAAGAAGCCACGGCUAACUACGUGCCAGCAGCCGCGGUAAUACGUAGGGGGCAAGCGUUAUCCGGAUUUACUGGGUGUAAAGGGAGCGUGGACGGUAUGGCAAGUCUGAAGUGAAAGCCCAGGGCUUAACCCUGGGACUGCUUUGGAAACUGUUAGACUAGAGUGCUGGAGAGGUAAGUGGAAUUCCUAGUGUAGCGGUGAAAUGCGUAGAUAUUAGGAGGAACACCAGUGGCGAAGGCGGCCUACUAAACUGCCACUGACAUUGAUGCUCGAAAGUGUGGGUAUCAAACAGGAUUAGAUACCCCGGUAGUC
This 441-nucleotide ribosomal RNA is filed under the name uncultured bacterium. RNAcentral's name for it is "partial 16S ribosomal RNA". It matches the Rfam family "Bacterial small subunit ribosomal RNA", at positions 338 to 795 of the family's 1533-position model. The record is from RNAcentral.